UCGGUGAAUACAAUUUUUGUUUUCGAAGUGGGCUGCAACAGAUCGCCAUUUUUAUUUGUGCUCACUUAAAACAGCAAAUCAACCAGACAAUAGCGCAUUUUUACUGAUAUCAACCGACCCACGUACGUAUAGUACUGCUAGUGUGCGAAAAUAAUAUUCUUUUUACUACACAGCAGGUUCACAAAAAAUAGCAGUAGGCCUACGUUAAUUGGAUCGAUACCUACAUGAUAUUCAGGCAGGAGAUUUACGAGGAGAUGUACAUAGAACAUGCACUAUACAUUAAACUCCGUUCGUGUCAUAUAUCAUAAUAGUACUGUGCAGUUAUACUUUGAAUAUUGUGCUCCAUUGCUUCGAUCUGAUCUGUCGUAGAAGAGAACGAAUUGCCAGUUGCUGAUAAAAGGAUCCUCUCCUCGAGGAGGCCAAGAUGACCCGUAAACUUAAAGACGGCCAAAAGGAAGGAAGUGAGAAGCCUGUAGAGUCAGUAGAUGGUGAUGAAACGGAAUAUGGCUUUGGUUUUACGGAAGAGUUGAGUGCUAACUUAUCUGAUACGAAGAAAUUGACUAUCAACGUGCAAGCCGCUGAUAGGAUGAAAUAUGAAGGUAAUACUGACAAUAAUAAUUCAUAAUAAUAAUUUUGUUUAUCCGGGAAGCACAUAUUUUCUUUACACAACUGUUAAGCCACUUCAGUGAAAUAUACUAUGCAAACGACUAGAGACAUAGUCUAACAUUGAGAAAUAUAACAUAUUAUAUUCAAAGAAGCUGAUUAUUAAGAAGGCGGAUUAGAUAUGGUAUUGCUUUGCCUCACUAUUUAUAAAGUCCAAAAAUAGGACAGAAUAAAUACUGAGAUUCGAAUUCACAACUCCAAGAUUGCAUUACGCUAUCCUUACCGAUUGAGCAAACGAUGGGUUGAUGAAAGCUGGGUUUGCAUGAUUAUUAUAACCAUAUCACUAACCCUAACGAUUACCAUGCGUGCAUGCGCAGGUUUAAAAU
Molecule: long non-coding RNA, 989 nt
Organism: Strongylocentrotus purpuratus (purple sea urchin)
Lineage: Eukaryota; Metazoa; Echinodermata; Echinoidea; Camarodonta; Strongylocentrotidae
Exons: 3
Source: RefSeq, a predicted model, not a curated record